UACGGAGGGAGCGACCGUUGUUCGGAUUUACUGGGCGUAAAGGGUGUGUAGGCGGUCUUGCAAGUCAGGGGUGAAAUCUCUCGGCUCAACCGAGAAACUGCCUUUGAGACUGCAGGACUUGAGGGCGUGAGAGGAGACUGGAAUUCCUAGUGUAGCGGUGAAAUGCAUAGAUAUUAGGAGGAACACCAGUGGCGAAGGCGAGUCUCUGGCACGCAUCUGACGCUGAAACACGAAAGCCAGGGGAGCGAACGGG
Molecule: ribosomal RNA, 253 nt
Filed under: uncultured bacterium
Lineage: Bacteria
Description: partial 16S ribosomal RNA
Rfam family: Bacterial small subunit ribosomal RNA
Source: RNAcentral